AUCUGGUUGAUCCUGCCAGUAAUAUAUGCUUGCAUCAAAGAUUAAGCCAUGCAUGUCUAAGUAUAGCAACUAUACAGUGAAACUGCGAAUGGCUCAUUAAAUCAGUUAUCGUUUAUUUGAUAGUACAGCUACAUGGAUAACCGUGGUAAUUCUAGAGCUAAUACAUGCUACAAAUCCUUCGGAACGUAUUUAUUAGAUACAAACCAACCUCGCCUUGGUGAUUCAUGAUAACUUGUCGGAGCCUUUUUGGCCGGUUCAUUCAAAUUUCUGCCCUAUCAACUGUCGAUGGUAGGAUAGAGGCCUACCAUGGUAGCAACGGGUAACGGGGAAUUAGGGUUCGAUUCCGAGAGGGAGCCUUAGAAACGGCUACCACAUCCAAGGAAGGCAGCAGGCGCGCAAAUUACCCAAUCCUGACACAGGGAGGUAGUGACAAUAAAUAACGAUACAGGGCCUCUGGUCUUGUAAUCGGAAUGAGAACAAUUUAAACCACUUAUCGAGGAACAAUUGGAGGGCAAGUCUGGUGCCAGCAGCCGCGGUAAUUCCAGCUCCAAUAGCGUAUGUUAAAGUUGUUGCAGUUAAAAAGCUCGUAGUUGAACCUCGCGCGCCGCGGGGGUCCGCCGACAGGCGGCACUGUUGUGGCGCGCUUGCCCGCCCCGCCUUCGGACGGGGGGGCCUUUACUGUGAGAAAAUUAGAGUGUUCAAAGCAGGCUUGUGCCGGAAUACGUUAGCAUGGAAUAAUAGAAUAGGACGAAGGUUCUAUUUUGUUGGUUCUAGGACCGUCGUAAUGAUUAAUAGGGAUGGUCGGGGGCAUCAGUACUCCGUAGUAAGAGGUGAAAUUCUUGGAUUUACGGAAGACUAACUGCUGCGAAAGCGUUUGCCAAGGACAUCUUCACUAAUCAAGAACGAAAGUUAGGGGAUCGAAGACGCUUAGAUACCGUCGUAGUCUUAACCGUAAACUAUGCCGACUCAGAAUCCCGCCGCCGAAUUGUAGCGGCGGGGCGCUGUGUGAGAAAUCAAAGUUUUUAGGUUCUGGGGGAAGUAUGGUCGCAAGGCUGAAACUUAAAGGAAUUGACGGAAGGGCACCACCAGGAGUGGGACUGCGGCUUAAUUUGACUCAACACGGGGAAACUCACCAGGUCCAGACGGAUAUAGGAUUGACACACUAAAGAUGUUUCAUGGAUCAUUCGGGUGGUGGUGCAUGGCCGCUUUUAGUCCGUGAUGUGAGUUGCCUACUUUAUUGUGAUAACGAGCGAGACCUCGGCCACUAGUUGCGUGUGCGCACAUUUGGUGCGCAAGCGCUCUUAGUGGGACUACCUGAGCAAUCGGGGGAAGUGAGGCAACAGCAGGUCUGUGAUGCCCUUAGACGUUCUGGGCCGCACGCGCGCUACACUGACGCAGCCAGCGAGCGCCUGCCUUGAGAGGGGUGGGUAAUCUUCAAACUGCGUCGUGCUGGGGAUAGAGCUUUGCAAUUAUUGCUCUUGAACGAGGAAUUCCUAGUAAGCGCGAGUCAUCAACUUGCGUUGAUUACGUCCCUGCCCUUUGUACACACCGCCCGUCGUUACUACCGAUUGAAUGGCUUAGUGAGGUCUUGGGAGCGUUGGCCUUGUGGGCGACCGCGACGCUGAUGCGAACUUGAUCAAACUUGGUCAUUUAGAGGAAGUACAAGUCGUAACAAGGUUUCCGUAGGUGAACUGCGGA
RNAcentral lists this ribosomal RNA (1698 nucleotides) under Entelexis vaccinii. RNAcentral's name for it is "SSU rRNA". It matches the Rfam family "Eukaryotic small subunit ribosomal RNA". Lineage: Eukaryota; Fungi; Ascomycota; Dipodascomycetes; Dipodascales; Trichomonascaceae. The record is from RNAcentral.